This 929-nucleotide ribosomal RNA is filed under the name uncultured bacterium. RNAcentral's name for it is "bacterial SSU rRNA". It matches the Rfam family "Bacterial small subunit ribosomal RNA", at positions 8 to 916 of the family's 1533-position model. The record is from RNAcentral.
AGAGUUUGAUCAUGGCUCAGAACGAACGCUGGCGGCGUGCCUAACACAUGCAAGUCGAACGGGGUGAGAGAGCUUGCUUUUUCAUCUAGUGGCGCACGGGUGAGUAGCGCGUAGAUAAUCUGCCUUAGACUUUGGGAUAACAGUUCGAAAGGGCUGCUAAUACUGGAUAAGCCCACGUCAUGAAUUGAUGCGGGAAAAGGGGGCCUCUGGAUAUGCUCCUGGUUUAAGAUGAGUCUGCGUACCAUUAGCUAGUUGGUGGGGUAAGAGCCUACCAAGGCGACGAUGGUUAGCUGGUCUGAGAGGAUGAUCAGCCACACUGGAACUGAGACACGGUCCAGACUCCUACGGGAGGCAGCAGUGGGGAAUUUUGCGCAAUGGGGGAAACCCUGACGCAGCAACGCCGCGUGAGUGAUGAAGGCCUUUGGGUCGUAAAGCUCCGUCUAGAGGGAAGAAAUGUACUAUGGUUAAUACCUGUAGUAUUUGACGGUACCUCUGAAGGAAGCACCGGCUAACUCCGUGCCAGCAGCCGCGGUAAUACGGAGGGUGCAAGCGUUGUUCGGAAUUAUUGGGCGUAAAGCGCGUGCAGGCGGUUUAUUAAGUCUGAUGUGAAAGCCCCGGGCUCAACCUGGGAAGUGCAUUGGAAACUGGUAGACUUGAAUACGGGAGAGGGUAGUGGAAUUCCUGGUGUAGGAGUGAAAUCCGUAGAUAUCAGGAGGAACACCGGUGGCGAAGGCGGCUACCUGGACCGAUAUUGACGCUGAGACGCGAAAGCGUGGGUAGCAAACAGGAUUAGAUACCCUGGUAGUCCACGCCGUAAACGAUGAGUACUAGGUGUUGCGGGUAUUGACCCCUGCAGUGCCGCAGCUAACGCAUUAAGUACUCCGCCUGGGAAGUACGGUCGCAAGACUAAAACUCAAAUGAAUUGACGG